This 230-nucleotide ribosomal RNA is filed under the name uncultured bacterium. Its description in RNAcentral is "partial 16S ribosomal RNA". It matches the Rfam family "Bacterial small subunit ribosomal RNA", at positions 524 to 750 of the family's 1533-position model. The record is from RNAcentral.
GACGGAGGAUGCAAGUGUUAUCCGGAAUCACUGGGCGUAAAGCGUCUGUAGGUGGUUCAAUAAGUCAACUGUUAAAUCUUGAGGCUCAACUUCAAAAUCGCAGUCGAAACUAUUGGACUCGAGUAUAGUAGGGGGUAAAGGGAAUUUCCAGUGGAGCGGUGAAAUGCGUAGAGAUUGGAAAAAGAACACCAAUGGCGAAAGCACUUUACUGGGCUAUUACUGACACUGAG